AGUUCAGACGUGUGCUCUUCCGAUCGGGAUAAGCUCCGUGGUCGAAAGGGAAACAGCCCAGACCGUCGGUUAAGGUCCCUAAAUGCAGGCUAAGUGGCAAAGGAUGUGGAAUUGCACAGACAACCAGGAUGUUGGCUUAGAAGCAGCCAUCAUUUAAAGAAAGCGUAAUAGCUCACUGAUCGAGUCGUCCUGCGCGGAAGAUGUAACGGGGCUAAGCCAGUUACCGAAGCUGCGGAUUUGCAAUUUAUUGCAAGUGGUAGGAGAGCGUUCUGUAAGCCUGAGAAGGUGUCUUGAGAAGGAUGCUGGAGGUAUCAGAAGUGCGAAUGCUGACAUGAGUAGCGUUAAAGGGGGUGAAAAGCCCCCUCGCCGUAAGCGCAAGGUUUUCUACGCAACGUUCAUCGGCGUAGAGUGAGUCGGCCCCUAAGGCGAGGCAGAGAUGCGUAGCUGAUGGGAAACAGGUUAAUAUUCCUGUACCGAUCUAUGGUGCGAUGUGGGGACGGAGAAGGUUAGCUCAGCCAACUGUUGGACAUGUUGGUUCAAGCCUGUAGUCGUGCCUGGUAGGUAAAUCCGCCGGGCUUAGAUGAGGGGUGAUAACGGGUCUGCUUGCAGACGAAGUGAGUGAUACCCUGCUUCCAGGAAAAGCCACUAAGCUUCAGCUACACACGACCGUACCGCAAACCGACACUGGUGCGCGAGAUGAGUAUUCUAAGGCGCUUGAGAGAACUCAGGAGAAGGAACUCGGCAAAUUGACACCGUAACUUCGGAAGAAGGUGUGCCUUUAGUAGGUGAACCAUUUACUUGGGGAGCCGAAUGAGGUUGCAAAAAAUCGGUGGCUGCGACUGUUUAUUAAAAACACAGCACUCUGCAAACACGAAAGUGGACGUAUAGGGUGUGACGCCUGCCCGGUGCUGGAAGGUUAAGGGGAGGGGUUAGCGGUCAGACUAGAAUGGCACGCGAAGCUCCAAACCUAAGCCCCAGUAAACGGCGGCCGUAACUAUAACGGUCCUAAGGUAGCGAAAUUCCUUGUCGGGUAAGUUCCGACCUGCACGAAUGGCGUAACGAUGGCGGCGCUGUCUCCACCCGAGACUCAGUGAAAUUGAAAUCGCUGUGAAGAUGCAG
Molecule: ribosomal RNA, 1119 nt
Filed under: sediment metagenome
Description: bacterial LSU rRNA
Rfam family: Bacterial large subunit ribosomal RNA
Source: RNAcentral